This is a non-coding RNA of Podarcis lilfordi (Lilford's wall lizard), 82 nucleotides long. The record is from the annotation of a GenBank genome assembly. NCBI's taxonomy places the organism in Eukaryota, Metazoa, Chordata, Lepidosauria, Squamata, Lacertidae.
UGCCGGAGAGAUAACCAGCUCAGUCGGUAGAGCGUGAGACUUUUAAUCUCAGGGUUGUGGGUUCAAAUCCCACAUUGGGCAA